This 433-nucleotide ribosomal RNA is filed under the name uncultured bacterium. RNAcentral describes it as "partial 16S ribosomal RNA". It matches the Rfam family "Bacterial small subunit ribosomal RNA", at positions 29 to 507 of the family's 1533-position model. The record is from RNAcentral.
AACGAACGCUGGCGGCAUGCCUAACACAUGCAAGUCGAACGAGACCUUCGGGUCUAGUGGCGCACGGGUGCGUAACGCGUGGGAACCUGCCCUUAGGUUCGGAAUAACUCCCCGAAAGGGGUGCUAAUACCGGAUAAUGUCUUCGGACCAAAGAUUUAUCGCCUUUGGAUGGGCCCGCGUUGGAUUAGCUAGUUGGUAGGGUAAAAGCCUACCAAGGCGACGAUCCAUAGCUGGUCUGAGAGGAUGAUCAGCCACACUGGGACUGAGACACGGCCCAGACUCCUACGGGAGGCAGCAGUGGGGAAUAUUGGACAAUGGGAGAAAGCCUGAUCCAGCAAUGCCGCGUGAGUGAUGAAGGCCUUAGGGUUGUAAAGCUCUUUUACCCGGGAUGAUAAUGACAGUACCGGGAGAAUAAGCUCCGGCUAACUCCGUG